Pelobates cultripes (western spadefoot toad) is the source of this 227-nucleotide non-coding RNA. The record is from the annotation of a GenBank genome assembly. NCBI's taxonomy places the organism in Eukaryota, Metazoa, Chordata, Amphibia, Anura, Pelobatidae.
GGAUAAACCACCAAGCCAUCACAACGUGGGCUUACAAGGUAUUCACACAAUCAGUUCUUUAGUUGACUUACAUGGUAGAUAUUGGGGGAUGUUUCCCAGACCUUCCAUUACCAUGGUCACAUACUUUCAGGUGUGACAUUAUUUCCACACUAUUAAACAACAUUUUAGACCUGCAUAAUGGGAAAACACCCUCGAUACUCUAUUAUGCAAACCCUGCCUCAUAUUCC